GGGGGCAUAGCUCAGUUGGGAGAGCAACAGACUGAAGUUUUCCAUAUGUAUCUGGUUCAUUUCUGGAGGUCCCCAGUUCAAUCCUGGGUGCCCCCA
Molecule: non-coding RNA, 96 nt
Organism: Armillaria fumosa
Lineage: Eukaryota; Fungi; Basidiomycota; Agaricomycetes; Agaricales; Physalacriaceae
Source: the annotation of a GenBank genome assembly